AGUGAACGCUGGCGGCAUGCCUAACACAUGCAAGUCGAACGGCCGGACAGUAAGAUCUUGCCCCUAAGGGUGGCGGCUGGCGGGCGGGUGACGCAUACAUCGGCAUCUACUUUUUCGUGGGGGACAACGUAGGGCAACUUCUGCUACUACAGCAUACGACCUACCGGUUAAAGCAGUAGUUCAUCGCACCUUUCCCGUUUGAAUGAGCCGAUGUCGGAUUAGCUAGUUGGCGAGGUAAAGUCCCACCAAGGCGACGAUCCGUAGCUGAUCUGAGAGGAUGAUCAGCCACACUGGAACUGAGACACGGUCCAGACUCCUACGGGAGGCAGCAGUAGGGAAUAUUGGGCAAUGGGCGCAAGCCUGACGCAGCCACACCGCGUGGGUGAAGAAGGCCUUCGGGUUGUAAAGCUCUGUUAUUAGGAAAGAAAAGCAGUAGGUUAAACCACGCCCGUUCUGACGGUACCCAAUGAGAAAGCCACGGCUAACUUCGUG
RNAcentral lists this ribosomal RNA (492 nucleotides) under uncultured bacterium. RNAcentral's name for it is "partial 16S ribosomal RNA". It matches the Rfam family "Bacterial small subunit ribosomal RNA", at positions 29 to 507 of the family's 1533-position model. The record is from RNAcentral.